AGUGGCGAACGGGUGAGUAAUAUAUCGGAACGUGCCCAGUAAUGGGGAAUAACUAGCCGAAAGGUUAGCUAAUACCGCAUACGACCUACGGGUGAAAGCAGGGGAUCUUAGGACCUUGCGUUAUUGGAGCGGCCGAUAUCUGAUUAGCUUGUUGGUGGGGUAAAAGCCUACCAAGGCAACGAUCAGUAGCUGGUCUGAGAGGACGAUCAGCCACACUGGAACUGAGACACGGUCCAGACUCCUACGGGAGGCAGCAGUGGGGAAUUUUGGACAAUGGGGGAAACCCUGAUCCAGCCAUCCCGCGUGAGUGAAGAAGGCCUUCGGGUUGUAAAGCUCUUUCGAAAGUGAAGAAAACUUAUUUCGUAAUAUGUUAUAAGUAUGACGGUAACUUUAGAAGAAGCACCGGCUAACUACGUGCCAGCAGCCGCGGUAAUACGUAGGGUGCGAGCGUUAAUCGGAAUUACUGGGCGUAAAGCGUGCGCAGGCGGUUUUGUAAGUCAGAUGUGAAAUCCCCGAGCUUAACUUGGGAACUGCGUUUGAAACUACAAGACUAGAGUGUGUCAAAGGGGGGUAGAAUUCCACAUGUAGCAGAGAAAUGCGUAGAGAUGUGGAGGAAUACCAAUGGCGAAGGCAGCCCCCUGGGAUAACACAGACGCUCAUGCACGAAAGCGUGGGGAGCGAACAGGAUUAGAUACCCUGGUAGUCCACGCCCUAAACGAUGUCAACUAGUUGUUGGUGGAGUAAGAUCCAUGAGUAACGUAGCUAACGCGUGAAGUUGACCGCCUGGGGAGUAC
RNAcentral lists this ribosomal RNA (794 nucleotides) under uncultured marine bacterium. RNAcentral's name for it is "bacterial SSU rRNA". It matches the Rfam family "Bacterial small subunit ribosomal RNA", at positions 94 to 883 of the family's 1533-position model. The record is from RNAcentral.